This is a long non-coding RNA of Rhododendron vialii, 568 nucleotides long. RefSeq lists it as uncharacterized. The transcript has 2 exons. The record is from RefSeq and is a predicted model, not a curated record. NCBI's taxonomy places the organism in Eukaryota, Viridiplantae, Streptophyta, Magnoliopsida, Ericales, Ericaceae.
CCAAGCUCAUCUGUUACCAUUACUGAAGAACCAACAUCCACAACAAAUGCUGUUGUUCUUUAUGAACGACCCAAACCGCAAUGGAGGCAUCUUGCGCCCAGAGUGGUUGAGGUAUCGUUGAACGCGCUUGACUUUGCAUUGAACGCAGCCAAGAUCUACUGUACCAGCAACGUCUGUACGAUUAUGUGACAAGAAGUGCCGGCCUGCCGGGUGUUCGAGUAUAUGGUAAACUUGAUUGGAGGCAUAGAUGUGUUCGGAGUCAUUCGACAUACAUGCACGAAUCUAAGGACGGUAUCGUAGAACUCACGUGUACUAUCAGUCGACUUUGGAUUCUUCGCUAUCCAAUUAGUAUUUGUUUCCGAGGCAUUAUUUUUAUUUGAGACAUCGACUCCACGGCCGCAGCCAUUCACUCAGUGCCGAAGUUUAUUGCCUUUGAACCUCGAUAAUUUGAGCUUUUAAGACUCUUCGGAUUUUGCCAUAUUGUUUUGGUUAUAAAUGACCUGUAGUACUAUUGUAUCACUUUCUUGAUAGAUAAUCGAAUUUCCUUACAGCUAUUUAUUUCUUGCCA